CUUCACUUGACCCAAAAUGGAGUCCAGCACUUAGCUUCAAACACUAUGGAAGCCACUCUGGGCCACUGUGGCUCCAGAGAAAGACAUAGUAAAUGUUGCCUGCAGAUGCCAGCCUCAAAAGAGUGAUCCUUAUCUUUGACACCUGGAGACUGGAUUACUGCCCUGCUUUUGGAAUCCCCCAGAGGUAGCAGCAUCUUGAGGGUAAUGCCAGACACGAUCUGCUCCAUAAGUGUCUCUCUGUGCUCAUGAAGAUUAAGUGACUUGCAGCAGUGGACAUGUGUCUUUUGGGAGGUUUUCUCUGUGUGCGUUCACAGGCCAGAUGCAUUCAGACAACUGCAACAAAAGCUCUCCUGUGCCAAAGACAUUGCUGCUGCGACCUGGAGGAAGAACCAUCUGUAGGGGUGACAAUUCAAUUCCUGAACCUGCUCAGCUCUGACCUUGUUUGAUUAUCUCCUGGCUGAAUCUCAGAAGAACCCUAGCAAACCACAGGCUUCACAGAGGAUGCGAAUUGCAAUGGAAUCUACAACAGCAGCAACAACAACAACAAAGUUCAACCAAACCUUUUAAUGUGAGAGCUGUUUACAUGUAAAUAUUUGUUAGGAAAGAGCCCCUGUAGCCCUCUGCUGAUGUGCCUGAAUUCAACCCUUCCUCUGGGUUUACUUUUUAAUUCUGCAGCCAGAGUAUUAGCAAUAUUAAACUGAAAAUGUCACAGAAUGUCAAGUCUGAAAAUGUCACAGAGAAAAGGAAGGGGGAAAAAAAGAAAAGAUGGUGACCCUGUACUAUCAGCAGAUGAAAUAAAUAUGCCUCACUGGUACAGUACAGUGGUUUCUUGGUGGGUAUAAUUUUAUACAUUUUGCAUCCUAUUAAUUUUCAUGGCAUCGAUGGAGAAAUAUUAGAACAGCGAGAGUGCUGAAGACAAAUUAACUCAUCAAUUACAUGUAUGGGACAGUUGAGACUGAGUUUAUUUCACCAUUUCCAAUUGCAAUAAAACUGUAAUUAC
Long non-coding RNA from Mauremys reevesii (Reeves's turtle), 1000 nucleotides. RefSeq lists it as uncharacterized. The transcript is spliced from 5 exons. Lineage: Eukaryota; Metazoa; Chordata; Testudines; Geoemydidae. The record is from RefSeq and is a predicted model, not a curated record.